RNAcentral lists this ribosomal RNA (522 nucleotides) under uncultured bacterium. RNAcentral describes it as "bacterial SSU rRNA". It matches the Rfam family "Bacterial small subunit ribosomal RNA", at positions 988 to 1509 of the family's 1533-position model. The record is from RNAcentral.
CCAGAGAACUUUCCAGAGAUGGAUUGGUGCCUUCGGGGAACUCUGAGACAGGUGCUGCAUGGCUGUCGUCAGCUCGUGUUGUGAAAUGUUGGGUUAAGUCCCGCAACGAGCGCAACCCUUAUCCUUUGUUGCCAGCGGUUAGGCCGGGAACUCAAAGGAGACUGCCAGUGAUAAACUGGAGGAAGGUGGGGAUGACGUCAAGUCAUCAUGGCCCUUACGAGUAGGGCUACACACGUGCUACAAUGGCGCAUACAAAGAGAAGCGACCUCGCGAGAGCAAGCGGACCUCAUAAAGUGCGUCGUAGUCCGGAUUGGAGUCUGCAACUCGACUCCAUGAAGUCGGAAUCGCUAGUAAUCGUGGAUCAGAAUGCCACGGUGAAUACGUUCCCGGGCCUUGUACACACCGCCCGUCACACCAUGGGAGUGGGUUGCAAAAGAAGUAGGUAGCUUAACCUUCGGGAGGGCGCUUACCACUUUGUGAUUCAUGACUGGGGUGAAGUCGUAACAAGGUAGGCGUAGUGCU